GCCCCCAUCAUGGGCGGCCCGCGGCUGCUGAGGCCCUGCACGGCGCCCAGCCCUCCGCCCGUGUAGUCCUGCACGAACCAGCGGAAGCUGAGGAUCUGCACCAGCACCGAGGGCAGCAGCACGAAGGCCAGCGUCAGGCCGCACCAGACGUAGUCCCGCCGCCCGUAGUGGUGCAGCGCCAGCCACAGGCUGAAAGAAUUUGACUUGCUCCCUUCAGCAAAAGUGAGAAUGGAGGGGGAGUGUGUUUUCUGUAUGUAAGUACAUUCCGGAAAGCAGAUGGGAAGGGUGUGACACUGAGGGGCAGCAGUAGAAGAGCAAAGGAGUAGGAACCGGUCGUGAGUAUAUCUGGUCUAGAAACCAUAAGAUCCUUCCAGUCAGAGAGAAAAAAAUAAGUAGUUGACAUUAACACAUUGCUUUGCAAUUUUACAGAGGAAAUGACAUACCAGUGUGAGAAAAUAAACAGUUGGGAUGAGAGACCUUGAAAGGUUUUCCUGCCCGGAUCAUCUGUCCUUGGAAAGAUCUUGUCCAUUCUGAUGCGUGAAGCAGCAGUGAGCCACCAGGAAGAAGAGGCACGUCUGGUGCUCCGGCAGUGCCCAGUAAAGCACGGCGUGGAAUGGUGCCCUUCUCUUGUUGGUUGGUUAAAGGCUUUUUUUGUCUCAAUCAAUACACUAAUUGAGUUGUGUGGUCUUCCAUCUUCCAGGCAUUUAUUCAGAUCAGGGGAACAAACACUAUAUAUAGAGAGGUAUGUAAGCCAGAAUCAGAGUUGUGUAAAUCUGGAACUACCUCAUUUAAAUAACUGGGGGAUCCAACUGGGUAUCUGGUAGAUGUGUAGUACUCUGCUACCAGCCCAGGUAAUCACAAUUAACAGGGAUUUACUUUAAGCAAAGUAGGUCAGAAAAAUGACAUUUUAUUGUGUCAUUAGUUUCCAUCAAUUACUUCCAAGUUGUUUGCUCAGUUCCCAACUCAAACGAGAGUGGGCUAACUGACAGCCUUGCAAGCUCAACUUGGUAUUGUCUCUAAAAAUCAAACUGCAUUAUUUCUGCCUCAUGCAUCAUCACUAACAAUAAAGCAUCCACUGUUAGAAUAUAGCAGGUGGCUUUGUUAUUCAUGCAUGAGACAAAGAAGACUCUGGCUUCUUUUGUCACGAUGCUAAGGUCUCUGCAGUACUGAAAGUUGGGUGUGUUGAUAAACUUGAUAGCUAAUGUGUGAGCCUGACAAGAGGACGCACCUGGGUCAAUCCUUCUGCCUGUACUUUCUGUUAGACUCAAUGAAUGCUUCAUGUAUAUGCUGGGGGAGGAUUAACACAGUGCUGUUUUAACUGGUGUCUCCCUGUAGCAGCACUUUGUGAUAUUAGCUUCUCUAGGAAAGGUGUGGAAGUUGCCAAAUGUUAUAUAUUAAAAAGCUAGCUCACAGUUAUCCAAAGAACUGCCUGUUUGGUGAAGUUUCUGGGUUCCAACACUUUGGUUUUAUUUGGGGGCUUAGGUUUAGAGCUUUCAGUUAAAAAAUCCAAUCAACUGAUCCAAUCCAAUCAAGUGUUAUUAGUGGCUAUCUAUAAUGAUGUGUUAAUGAUCACCCAAAUGUGGUGUGUCCUCACAGCUAGACCUAGUGCUUGACUUCUAUAAUUCCAUAUGCAAAAGAGUAGUUUUGAAUCAUGCAAUCAUACAGUCAUUAAUGUUGGAAAAGACCUCUGAGAUCUUCCAGUCCAACCCCAGCCCACCCCCACCGUGCCCACUGACCACAUCCCUCAGUGCCACAUCUCCAGAUUGAACAUCUCCAGGGACCAUCAUCUCUGGACAGCUGUGUCACUGCAUCACCACUCUUUAGGAGAAGAAAUUGUUCCUAAUAUCCAACCUGAACCUCUUCUGGGACAAUGUUUUACCCCUUCCUGGAAGAAUAUGUUCGUGCUCCAGUGGUCCAGCCAGGGACUUUGCAGAAGGCAAAGUAAAUAUCCCUGGUUUCAUGAGCAGAGAUUUUAGCAGGAUGGAGGCUAUCACAGAGGAACAGCAACUUAAGCAAGAGGUUGUUCCUUAAAAAUGGAGCCCUCUUUAUGGCUGUGUUUUUGUCAAGAUGGAAUGCUAUACCCUAAAUACACUGCUAUACCCUAGAGAGGUUGUGAAGUUCGAAUUAUGUCCCUAAAAUGUGUUCAGGUUCUCAGCUGCUGCAUGAUAAAAGACAGAUAAUAUUUCUCUACUAAAUAAUUACAGGAAUCCCAUGUUUUCUUCUAUUGGACAGUAAUAUUUUAUUUAAACCUCUUUACACCUCCUGACAAAUUUAAUAAUUGGUAUGGUCCUGGGAAAGUUAGAAAACUUCACAGCUCCCAUUAUCUAGAUCUUACCUGCGGUGACAUGGUUUAUUCAGCUCUUCUCAGGCUUCCUUUAAUCUCCUGAGAGCUGCGACUGUGUUCAUUUAUUACAGUGCAUCAAAAGGAACCUGUCUCUCUGCUUUCAGAAAAGUGCCUUUACUGGGACACCUUUUAGAUGCAAUCAGCUAACCCGGUGACAUCGGAUGUGUGAUCGUAGGGCUUCCUGGGGAGUGGUCUGUGCAGAAGAAGGUGACUGCAAGAAGCUUUCUGACCUGCCUGCCUUUUCUUUCCAUAGUCUUGUUAAACCAAGCACAGGCUAAUCCCUCAGCUGUGCUCUUAGAGGUACUGGCUACUCGGCAGGAAGGAGCAACCUGACUUCAUCAGGCAGAAGAGGUGAUGAGUGAUGCAGGGAAGUGUGUUUCUUCCCUCAGAAGAGCAUUAACAGCUAAGACUUCCAGUCUGAUGGACUUACUUGGUGCUCUUCCAAGCUGAGAUUUAGGAAAAGCAACUACACAGCAUUUCCUACUUCCCCCCAUGGGACCCCAGUGAUUUAAUUGGCUAUGAAGAGCAGGGAUGUAUCUCAUACAGUAGCUGGCUGUUGUUGUCAGCGUGCCACGCUGCUAUUCGAAGCUCAGUGAAAAGAGAAGUUAUCAAGCAGUUCUUCCCCUUCUGAACUGAGCACAUGGGAAGACUGGUCACUCUGCCCACAGGAAUCGCACGUGGCAGGUAGAUUUUUGUUCUUCUAGGUUACUGGGAAAGCCAAUGCAUCGCCUUUGGUCAUGAGAGCAAGUGGAGCUGGAAUUCACACCUUAACUAAGGUGAAGUAUACUCCUCAUGACACAAAUCCCUUUCCACGUAAACACACUGAUGUUAUAAUACGUGAAAGCUCUGUAGCCUCAUCCAAACCCAUGCAUGUAACAGGGUAAUGUAUUUUCUAUAAUUAAUGCUUGCCACUACAGAUUGCUUAAUUCAAUUCAUGACCUCUUCUAUCAAGCCAAAUAUAGACAGAAUAUUGCAUUCAUUCCAACCUGCAUGGGUUUCCUUUGGAAAAUAAGAAAAUGGUUGCUGGCUAUAACAGCUCUGGUAACUUCAGUCUCCCAUCUCCUUUUUCCUGAAAUAUCAGCCCACUCAUUGCUCCUCGGUGGUGUGGGCUUCUCAGUCCUUCUUUCAGACAAGGCACUGCUGAGAAAUCAUCUUCCCCACUGAUUUCCCACUGAUCUUAUGAGAUGUCAUGGCAGUUAAGGUUGGUUGUAUCUUUGCAGCCCUUGUCUUUCAUGAUGAACCUCAUGGUAUGGCAUGAUAUCUCAAUUACAUGCCCUUUUGUGCUCAGUAAACCCUCGGCUCCACUGCAACCACCAUUUCUACCGCUUCGGUCCUGAACAAAAUGCCUCCAUCUGGUAGAGCUCGUGUUCUGUGUCAGUGGAUUUAGCUCUAAACCAAGACAUCUAAUUGUACAUGUCCAUGGGUGAGUUAUUACAUAUCUGAGUUCCAUAGUCAAGAAGGAGCUUACUGCUGGCUCUGGGCAGUUGACCACGUGUAGACAGCCAGUGCCAUUUGUGAGGCCCUAGGAUAUCUCACCAGGCCUCCAGCUGAUGCUCCAAAUGGGCUUCGAUCUUUUUUACCUCCAGUAUCAUACCUGUCAGUUGGAUCAACAUGUCCAAGCCACCUUUGGGCACCUUAAAUAGCAUUAGACACUGGGAGAUUGCACCAGAGUAUUUUGCCAUUAGGAGCAGGGUUAGGCCUCCAGUGCGCAUUUCCUAUUACUUAUACUGGUUCUAGGGACGGGUAGGAUCAGCUUCUUCUCAACAGCAGCAGAAGUAACAAGAUGGCAUCACCAUUUCCCUUUCUAUGAUUUUAGUGCUUUAAAAUAAUUUGACUAUGUGCAGGUGAUUUAAUAUCUCAGGGGACAGAUGCCCAAGUUUGAAAUGGAUGCUUAAGGUCUCACUUCCAUAACAAAAAUGAUCAUGUGGCUCUUCCACACAGUGUCUAAAAAUUAAGUAGUGCUAUUCUGAAGUCUCGGUUCAGGCACACACUGUGCUUUCUAACAUGGGCACGUCACCAACGUCUCUAACUUUGGCAAAUGCUCCUAUCAUUUCUUCCAUCUGCCAGCAGAAACAAUAUUUCUGAAUCUGUUAAUUAAGGAACUGAAGUUUUGCCCUAAGAUACUGGAGUAACUUGUUCUGUUUUCUACAGCAAAACUAAUGCUUGCCUUGUCCAUAAUUAUCUAAAUUGCUGAGAAAAAAAUUAUUCAGCUUUCAUGUUGAUUCACUUUUGUAAUUUCAUUGCCGAGGCUAAGUGUGGCACCAUAUAAAUUAUCCCCUACUCUCAUUUUACUCAAGACAUGUUAUUUGCUAACAAAGAUUCGAUAAGGAAAAAUGGGAAGGUGACAACUACCUCCUUCAUCAAUGCAAAUGACAAUAAUCUCCUCUCCUUCGCCAUGUGAAAAUAAACAUUGAAUCAUCCCAGAUGGAAAUGCCCUUCUGCAUUUAGAGGUACGGAUAUGGGAAGGGAACACCUGCUCUCAUUUGUGUAGUCGUAACAUUCAAGUUUAGCUAGCCAUUCCAUGGAAAAUACUUCAGUGGUAUAAGCGCAGUCUGAAAUUGUCACCACUGUUUUUCUCAAGAAUCUGUACAUUCUUCAUUAUUUUGUGCCAUUUGCAUUUGUAAAUGGAAGAUUAAUUUCUGUUCUUAUUAAAUAAUCAACAUGGUGUUCAGU
Meleagris gallopavo (turkey) is the source of this 5017-nucleotide long non-coding RNA. The record is from Ensembl. NCBI's taxonomy places the organism in Eukaryota, Metazoa, Chordata, Aves, Galliformes, Phasianidae.